CCCGCCCUAGCUCAAAGGUAGAGCGGUCGGCUGUAGACCGAUUGGUUCCAGGUUCGAUUCCUGGGGGCGGGACCA
RNAcentral lists this transfer RNA (75 nucleotides) under Candidatus Bathyarchaeota archaeon. Its description in RNAcentral is "tRNA-Tyr". It matches the Rfam family "tRNA". Rfam says of the family: Transfer RNA (tRNA) molecules are approximately 80 nucleotides in length. Their secondary structure includes four short double-helical elements and three loops (D, anti-codon, and T loops). Further hydrogen bonds mediate the characteristic L-shaped molecular structure. tRNAs have two regions of fundamental functional importance: the anti-codon, which is responsible for specific mRNA codon recognition, and the 3' end, to which the tRNAs corresponding amino acid is attached (by aminoacyl-tRNA synthetases). tRNAs cope with the degeneracy of the genetic code in two manners: having more than one tRNA (with a specific anti-codon) for a particular amino acid; and 'wobble' base-pairing, i.e. permitting non-standard base-pairing at the 3rd anti-codon position. The record is from RNAcentral. Lineage: Archaea; Thermoproteati; Candidatus Bathyarchaeota. RNAcentral also lists the same sequence under 1 other name.